RNAcentral lists this small RNA (256 nucleotides) under Arabidopsis thaliana (thale cress). RNAcentral's name for it is "ATSL205670". Lineage: Eukaryota; Viridiplantae; Streptophyta; Magnoliopsida; Brassicales; Brassicaceae. The record is from RNAcentral.
GCCAACAAAGAGAACACACAGAAACCGACACAAUGGCUGACGUUGUAGAUGAGCAAGAGCAACCUACCAACAUUGGUGCUGGUGACUUCCCUCACAACCACAACCAGCGUCAUGGAAUUGUUCCACCUCCAGUACAGAAUAAUAACUUUGAGAUCAAAAGCGGUCUCAUUGCCAUGGUUCAGGGGAACAAGUUUCAUGGCCUACCAAUGGAGGAUCCGCUAGAUCAUCUUGACAAGUUUGAAAGGCUCUGUGGCCA